CAUAGCAAGAACAAAGGAAGAAAAGAAGAACACAAACCCUAGGUGGAAAAAUUCAUGGGAAAAGUGUGAAAAUUCAAGUAAUCAAGCAAUCAAAGGUAAAAUUUCUUGAUUUUGACUUGUGAUCUACCUUUCCCAUGCAUUAUUUUGCAUUUUUCAUGGUUGAAUCACAAGAUAUCAUGAAGGAUUCAUUGCUGACCGAAUUUAGAGAGAGAGGAUUUGAUGGUUGUUUUGGUUAGAUUUUAAGAUAUUCUAGUGUUUUUAGUUAGUUGGUGAUGUAUAGCAUGAAAAUCAAACAAGAAAAAUUCAUUUUCUCCCAUAACCCAUCAUUGGCUGAAUUUUCCAUGUAGAGUGUGGAUGAUGAUUUUGAUUUUAUUUCCAGUGAAUUGGUUAGGAAAUGAUGAAUUAUGGUGAGAAAAUCAAGUAGGAAAAAUCAUAAUGUUGAUGCACCCACCAUGGCCGAAUUUUUCAAGAGAAAAUGUGAAGAUGAUUUUGCUAGAUUUUAUGCUAUUUGACUUGUGUUUGAUGAU
This 527-nucleotide long non-coding RNA is filed under the name Theobroma cacao (cacao). RNAcentral's name for it is "long non-coding RNA (TCAC_LNC004463)". The record is from RNAcentral. Lineage: Eukaryota; Viridiplantae; Streptophyta; Magnoliopsida; Malvales; Malvaceae.